RNAcentral lists this long non-coding RNA (348 nucleotides) under Gallus gallus (chicken). Lineage: Eukaryota; Metazoa; Chordata; Aves; Galliformes; Phasianidae. The record is from RNAcentral.
AAAGUAUGGCCUGAAAUCACUGCAGUACUUUAAGGGUGAAAUACAACUCACAAGCGCCAACACGGUUUCUGAAGAUUCUGCUGGUGACGGUGCCAUGACAACAAGUGGUUCUCCUAGCAGUACGAGUUCCCAGAGCAUCUGAAUGUGAAAGAACACUGGACAGAAACACCUGAAAAGAUCUACUUCAUGAACAGUUGGUAAGGUCAUAGAGAUCUGAGCAUCUGCCUGGUGCAUAUUCUGUACUACCGGGGUCGUUCCAGGCUUGUCACGAUAUGUUGGAAUUCGCAGCUUCAUUACGACACCCAUAAUAGGCAAAUGUAGUACUUCCCCUGGAACUGGUGGUGGCCA